CCUACGGGAGGCAGCAGUAAGGAAUAUUGGACAAUGGUGGCAACACUGAUCCAGCCAUGCCGCGUGCAGGAUGACGGCCCUAUGGGUUGUAAACUGCUUUUGUACGGGAAAAAACCCUCGUUCGUGAACGAGGCUGAUGGUACCGUAAGAAUAAGGAUCGGCUAACUCCGUGCCAGCAGCCGCGGUAAUACGGAGGAUCCAAGCGUUAUCCGGAUUUAUUGGGUUUAAAGGGUGCGUAGGCGGAUUAAUAAGUCAGUGGUGAAAGCCUACAGCUUAACUGUAGAAUUGCCAUUGAUACUGUUAGUCUUGAGUAUAUUUGAAGUGGGCGGAAUGUGCAGUGUAGCGGUGAAAUGCUUAGAUAUUGCACAGAACACCGAUUGCGAAGGCAGCUCACUAAACUAUAACUGACGCUGAGGCACGAAAGUAUGGGGAUCAAACAGGAUUAGAUACCCUGGUAGUCCAUACAGUAAACGUUGAUUACUCGAUGUGUGCGAUACACUGUACGCGUCUAAGCGAAAGCAAUAAGUAAUCCACCUGGGGAGUACGCUCGCAAGAGUGAAACUCAAAUGAAUUGACGG
RNAcentral lists this ribosomal RNA (578 nucleotides) under uncultured bacterium. RNAcentral describes it as "bacterial SSU rRNA". It matches the Rfam family "Bacterial small subunit ribosomal RNA", at positions 338 to 916 of the family's 1533-position model. The record is from RNAcentral.